UAAUUUGUAUAUUGAUUAUUCUCACAAUACAAACAAUUUUAACGAGCCCUGAAUUAUGGGUUUUCUUUGAGACGUAGGAGCUGAGUUGAGGCUUAACAAUGAUGUGACAGAAAUACUCACUAAUAACUUUGGACAUAAUUGUGUAAAUAAUGAGAUAACUAUUCUGGGGGUUUUUGGUUUCAAUUAGAACUAAAAAACAAACGGUUAAAACGUACCUUGGUCCUAUUUAGUUUUAGUUUUGUGUUUACAAAUUCAGACUGGACCAACAUAUGGAAGAAAAAUGAUGACUGGUUACCUGGCCUCAAAGGGAAUCCGAGCAUCAGAGGGGCGUGUUGGUCGUGUCCUCAGAGAAACGAACCAGCCAUAUCAUGCAGAUCGGUAUCGUAGAUUAAGGAAUUUAAAUCCAGUGCCAUACAGUGCAGAGUACAUGGGUCACAAAUUGCACAUUGACCAAAACGAGAAACUGGUGAUGUAUGGGGUGACCCACGUCCUUGCCGUGGACGGAUUCUCCAGCAACAUUGUAAGCCACUCCACCAUGCCAGUGAAAAACAACCUGACCAUAUAUCAAGAGGUUUACCAAAUCAUAUUAUAGAAAGGAUGUGGCCAGAGGUAAACAACAGGGUAAACUACCCUCUGAAAGGCGCACUCAACCACCUUGUUGACCAGGAGGAACUAAACCUUGAAGACAACAUCACACGAUAUUGUGUGUCCACUCUUACCUGUCAGGUAGCCAACAUUGGACUUGCCCGGAUGGUGCAGUCCUGGAACAGAAUCCAAGGUUUGGAUAGCAGUUUUCAGAAUGUUACUUAAGCCCCAUAACAAAUGACCUUCUUUAUGCAUUUUUAUAAGUUGUACUUAUAUCCUACAUUUGUUUCUCUCUGUAUCCCCUUUUUUACACUAGGUUGAUGGAAAUGUUUAAAUGUGGCAUGUAUAUAUUCCAAUAUUUCAAUAAUUGUCUGAGGAAAGACAUAUCUAAUCUAGUUUAUAGAUUGCUCUUAUUGCAUGAAACAUAUAUAUCUGGUAAGUACAUAAACAGUCAAAUUAAAAACAUACUUUUUAAAGUUUGUAAGAAGUGUACUAAUAGCACAAGUAACAUUUGUUGUAAGGGCAGGCCAUGAUUACACGCUGUGUGAUGUUCAUUGAUAUGCAUGAUAUGUAACAUUACACUAACAAUGGCCACUUAUUUGUGCUUUUCUUUUAAGGUAAGGGUAUCCCAGAUCAACUUGCUCAUGGUGGAUGCCCAAAGAGACUGCCUGCAGAUCUUUUGCCUGAAGCUACAGAUGCUGCAGACUGCUAUUACCAGGAAGUGGGGUCCUCUCUGACACGAGUGUCGCUGUUUGGGAGAAACCCAUUUGCCACUGUGGAGCACCAGACAGCAGCUGAACAAGAAUUUGCAACGAACUAUGCGGACAUUGCUGAACUCUUUGAGCGUGCCAUUCAUAACCAGCCAGCACCAUUCCAAAACGGGAUAAAGGAUCUCAUAGACAUUGUAAGAAGAUACGUGUAAAGGCAAGUGCAGGGAUCAGGAGCCAGUGUAUACCCAGGUUGCUGGACUGUCUGCAGCACUGGAUGCUUUAAGGGCCCUCCCCUAAAGUGGACAGCAGUUCAGUCGUUUAUUGUUAAGUUUAUUGUUUAUUGUUAAGUGGUGUGUGUUCAAAUUCCAGGUUCCAUGAUAUCAUCAUACAGAAAAUAAUUGUUGUAGUUUUCUUUAGCUGUAUGACUUGUUAAUUGUUCAUCUGCAAUGUUUAAUAAAUGGAGAAUUGUUUGAAUGUGUGUCCAUGGUAUGUUUAAUUAUGUUUCUAAACACAGGCAAAUAGCUGCAUACGUAAGGCAAUACAAUCAAACGCUAUUAUUUUAUCAUCCACGCACCAACAGAACAUUUGGAAAUCAGCCAUUAAUCAGAGGUUGUCGAAGUACUUGAGUAAAAGUAGAAGUACUCAGAUCUUGUACUUGAGUAAAAGUAGAAUAGCAAUAAUACAUAUGACAUCUAUUUUUUUAACGUCUCCAUUACCGAUAAAAAGAUCGUUAACGUUGGACCUUAACGGUACCACGGUCUUUAAUAAUUCAUCCCCGGGGCCCCGUUAAUACCGGGGCUCGGUACCCAUCCCUAGUUUUAAUUAUUACAUCAUCAAUAUUACAUUUCAAAUAACCAAGAACUUGGUAUCUCACAAAGAGCAAGUUGCUAGUGCUG
Molecule: RNA transcript, 2191 nt
Organism: Trematomus bernacchii (emerald rockcod)
Lineage: Eukaryota; Metazoa; Chordata; Actinopteri; Perciformes; Nototheniidae
Exons: 3
Source: RefSeq, a predicted model, not a curated record